AGACCCCCGGGGUAUGGCCUCAGUAGCGGCGAGUGAAGCGGCAAGAGCUCAGAUUUGAAAUCGUGCUUUGCGGCACGAGUUGUAGAUUGCAGGUUGGAGUCUGUGUGGAAGGCGGUGUCCAAGUCCCUUGGAACAGGGCGCCCAGGAGGGUGAGAGCCCCGUGGGAUGCCGGCGGAAGCAGUGAGGCCCUUCUGACGAGUCGAGUUGUUUGGGAAU
This 216-nucleotide ribosomal RNA is filed under the name Pichia kudriavzevii. Its description in RNAcentral is "partial 26S ribosomal RNA". It matches the Rfam family "Eukaryotic large subunit ribosomal RNA", at positions 62 to 281 of the family's 3401-position model. Lineage: Eukaryota; Fungi; Ascomycota; Pichiomycetes; Pichiales; Pichiaceae. The record is from RNAcentral.